This is a long non-coding RNA of Cygnus olor (mute swan), 2134 nucleotides long. RefSeq lists it as uncharacterized. The record is from RefSeq and is a predicted model, not a curated record. NCBI's taxonomy places the organism in Eukaryota, Metazoa, Chordata, Aves, Anseriformes, Anatidae. The transcript is spliced from 3 exons.
GCUGUCAUCUGUCCCCACAUUGUUUUACGUGAAACGUAUGCUCAGCAGAACACCACUUAAAACCUUUUUUGGGAUUUGAAAAUGCAGUAAUGCCAGCCAUGGCAGGGAAGGCUUCUGCCUCUCACAGGCCAAAAAACAAAAAACAAACAAAAAAAAACCCACUGUUUCUACUCACUUAAAAACAUUUAUUGGUUAAUGUUGAGCACCUCAAGACCUCAUUAGAGUGUAGAGUGGCCACACUCCACACUGGAGAAUUUAGAGCUUCUCUGUCAAUGUUUCUCUCUGAUCUGGCUAUCAGUUUUGAGGAGAUGCUGAGCCUGGCAGCCGGCUGCCCACUCUACAUUAGGGUGAGGCCACCUCCCACCAGUGGAUUUUCCCUUAGCCCCACUACCACAGACAGACAUCACAGACAUGUGGGAGAUGCCCUGUCUCUCCACCUUCCCCUCAGGAGCAGGCCUUGUGUCCCACAGCCCCACAGCCCCGCCAUCCCUCUCAGCCUCCUGCCUCAAUCUCCCCCACCAGCGUGGGCCGGUGCAGGUGCCAAGAUGUCUCCCUUGGGCCUGGAGAAGAGGGAAAACACCAUGGUUGCGGGCUCCUGCACCCAGCCCAAACCCACCUGCCUCCUGGGGAAGCCCAUGGAGAGAAAUAAGAGAUGCCUGAAGGGAAGCAAGAAUGGAAAGCAUCCUUAAAAUGACUGAUUUACAAUUGUCUAAGAUGGUAAUGGCGAGGAGCACUACUGAUUUGUUCAUGCUUCAAGUAAAAGCAAUGUCCAUCAUGGCAUUUUGUGUAGAGUUUUGUCCAGUUGUCAGGUAGGUGUGGCUCAAACACUUUCAGCGAUGUAGAGGCAGUCGCCUUGAUUCUGGAUCUCAGGCUGAUUCAGUCUAUUUCACAAUCUAAUAUUUCUCAGAAAUCCUGCUGCUGCCUACCAGCAUAUGCAGCUGGGCAUUGUGUUGGACCAUCACAUCUAAUAUCCACCAAAGUGCUUGUCCCCCAUGAAUUUAACAUAUCCCUCUUUGAUACCUUUUGUAGUUUUGCUGUCUGUAUUUUACUGUAACAUGGCAUUCCAUAUUUUACUUUGGCGCUUUGUGAAACAGAUUGUCAUUUGUUUUCUGUUUGUUACCUGAUAAUUUCAUUCCAUACCUGCUAGUACUCAUAUUGUCAGAAACUGUGAUUCAUCUGCAGUUUUGUUGUCUAGUCACUCAGGACUGCAAAACCUUUCUAUAACAUUCACAUUCAGGUUUAGAUUUAGCCAUUUAAAAUAAUAUAGUAUCACUGCAACUUUAUUCAUUCCAGAUUUACAGUGUUUUCCAAACAAUUUAUGAAAAGUACGGAUCCUUAGGAAACUUCCACAUGUAGACUUCUUCCUCUGUGGAUCUGCAAUUUAUUCCUGGUCUUUGUUAGAUAGGAAUAUUUAAUUAGACAUUAAUCCAUGAGAGGACUUUCCAUCUUAUCAAUUAAUAAACUGUAAUACUCAAUAUAUAGAAAGAGAUUUCUUAUAUUUAAAAUUUGGCAUUCCUAUAGAGGGCUCCUGAACUAUGGAGCUAGUUACACCAUUAUCUCCAAGAAGAACACCUGGCUUAUUAUUAGUGAGCUACUCUGCAGAGCAUUAGUAGUAAGUGACACAGUGAUUAUCACUGUGGUGUUCACAUUUCCCCAUCACAUGCUGGGAUUGUUGUUUAAAAGUGUUUCUUGUGGACUUGUUUUGAAAAAUAAUCCUUGAUGCAGUAACCUAAGAACAUAAAAUAGGGUGACAUUUCAGUUGAUGUGUCUCCGGCUUUAAUUUGUAUUUAAUAAGCCAGUUUUGCCUAUGUUUAUUAAAAUUGGUUGACUUUUAAAAGAGCUCCCACUGAGUUUUAUGAAUAUGCAAAUUGUAUGUCUAUUUGGUAUAGAAUGAAACUCUCAAUUACAGUGACAAUAUAGAUGUAGUUAUAGUUUUAUUAAUCAAUUAACACAUAAGUAUUCUGAUUAGCACUUGACGUGACUAGUUAAAUACUUCUUUAUGUUGGGGGUACUGGAACUGCUUUCUUUAAGGAGAUUGAGUCUUAUGCCCAAAGAAAGAGUACCUGAAUGCACAUCUACACGUAAUAAAUAAAAGUAAGGGAAUUUGCUCUGAUAUUUGUACUUGUUGCUCUAA